CACACAGCAGAACCCCAACAGCAAUCAAGAGGAAAGUGCCAGCACCAGGGAAGGGAAGAUAACUUUACAAAGAUCCUUGUCAGGGAUGUGGCAGAGGGACACAGCGCGGUCCGAGAGAAUCAGAGAUGUGCAAUCGGUGAAGACGGGGCCAGAGGAGGAGUGUACUGAGGAGGCUGGGUUGCUGAGACAGGAAGCCAGCACUCCAGCAGACAGAGGUGGCAUGGACAGAGCAGAAGAUGAUUUUAGAUUUACAAGUUUUUAAAAUAGGACCCCUUCUAUCAGAUGAGCCAAUCUCAUCCAAUUUCCUACCGAGGCACAUCUGGCAAAGAACUGACAAACUGGGCUCCAAAGAAGAGGCAGCAACGAGGCCUUCAUUCCAAAGUCCAUAAGGACAGAGAUCCUGCCAACCAUCAUAGGCACAAACCUGGAAGCUUAUCUCCCACACUGGAGCAGUGAGAUGGUGGCAACUAACUUCUAGACUGCAGUUCUGAAAAGACUCAGAGGACCCAUUUAAGUCACAUUCACCCUGACCUAGAGAAUCUGUGAGAUAGUAAAUGCUGUUGUGUUACACUGCUAUUUGGGGGAUAAUUUCUGUGAUUAAAAAAAAAAAAAAAAACUAAUGCAGGGAAAUGCUAAUUUUCUUUAUCCUCAUGUAUACAUUUUUAAAAACUCAGUUUUCUAAAAUUUUAUUUUUUGUGUGUAUAGGUGUUCUGCUUGCAUGUUUAUCUUUGCACUGUGAGUGUCUGAUGCCUGUGGCAGCCAGAAGACUACCAGACUCCCUGGGACUGGAGUUAAGAUUGUUGUGAGCUGUUAUGUGGGGGGUGGAAAUUGAACCCAGGUCCUCCAGAGAGCAGCCUGUGCUCUACCUACUGAACCACCUUAGCAGCCCUGGCAAACUAAAAUUUUAAGGAAUUCAUCUAAGUUGAGCUUCAUAGUAUAAAUGAUCCUUUUCAGAGGUAGACAAACAAUACAAGCUUAUUUGCUCAAUAUUUCUGAAAUAAAACUAUAU
This is a long non-coding RNA of Meriones unguiculatus (Mongolian gerbil), 1009 nucleotides long. RefSeq lists it as uncharacterized. Lineage: Eukaryota; Metazoa; Chordata; Mammalia; Rodentia; Muridae. The record is from RefSeq and is a predicted model, not a curated record. The transcript has 3 exons.